RNAcentral lists this ribosomal RNA (443 nucleotides) under uncultured bacterium. Its description in RNAcentral is "partial 16S ribosomal RNA". It matches the Rfam family "Bacterial small subunit ribosomal RNA", at positions 338 to 795 of the family's 1533-position model. The record is from RNAcentral.
CCUACGGGUGGCAGCAGUGGGGAAUAUUGGGCAAUGGGCGCAAGCCUGACCCAGCAACGCCGCGUGAAGGAAGAAGGCCUUCGGGUUGUAAACUUCCUUUUUCAGGGACGAAGACAGUGACGGUACCUGAUGAAGAAGCCUCGGCGAACUACGUGCCAGCAGUCGUGGUAAUACGGAGGGGGCAAGCGUCAUCCGGAUUCACUGGGUGUAAAGGGGGCGCAGGCGGCGAUGCAAGCCAGGCGGGAAAGGCCGGGGCCCAACCCCGGGACUGCUGUUGGAACUGCGUGGCUGGAGUGCAGGGGGGGCAGGCGGAAUUCGUGGUGUAGCGGUGAAAUGCGUAGAUAUCAGGAGGAACACCGAUGGCGAAGGCGGCCUGCUGGACUGCAACUGACGUUGAGGCCCGAAGGCGUGGGGAGCGAACAGGAUUAGAUACCCCAGUAGUC